This 389-nucleotide unclassified non-coding RNA is filed under the name Centruroides sculpturatus (bark scorpion). RNAcentral's name for it is "uncharacterized LOC111636910, transcript variant X1". Lineage: Eukaryota; Metazoa; Arthropoda; Arachnida; Scorpiones; Buthidae. The record is from RNAcentral.
AUUUAAAAACAUAAUAGAAGUUUGAUUCUAGGAUCAAAGGAAAAGCAAUGUACCAAAAGAUUCUGAAGAACAAACCAAUAAAGAUGUUUUAUUGGAUUUCCAACAAGUUACAUUUCAAGUUCUUGGGCAAGCUUGGCCUUUACAGAAAAAAACACAAGAAACUUAUAGGAAACCUCUUUGUAUGUUGUUUUUAUCUGAGUUUGAAACUAGUACAUGGAAAGUUCAACUUUCAAUUCUCAAAGCUACUAAAACCUUUAUUUCCAGAUUGCAAUUUCCUAAAGGAAGAAUUUCAAAUUCAGAUGAAGAGCAAGAAUUAAUUUCAAUUGUUGAUGGGAUUCUUAAUAUAGGAUAUAAAACUUUAGAAAUGUGUAAAUAUUCAUCUUUAAGAA